CAACGCGGAGGGCGCGACCUCAUCACGACGCGAGGGAAGGGGUGUCGAGGCCGCCUCCAUACUCGAAGCGACCAUGUGGUGCACAACUACACAGCGCCUGGCGCUCCUCGCGAGCCUCCUGUGGCUCGUGUCAGGUGUGCAGGCGGCCAUCUCCUUCAACCUUAACAGCGUCGAUUACCCUGUGUAUGUUGACGAGAAGAUGUCGGCGAAGGAGUACGCCGUUCUUCCGGGAGGCGGCAGCGCAUGCUUGCUGUUGUCCCUGGACAACGGACUGGGCGGUGUCGUGCGCUUCGCCUACUCGUCAAACGUGUCGAACCUGCACUGGCGCUCCGAUGUGCUCGUGUCGACCCACCAGCCGAGUGCCUCGCAUCCAUCCGUAGCGAUUCUGGACAAGGCCGACGCCGUCAUCCAAACAAAGCUCUACAGCGCGGAGGAGUUGGAGCGACGGAACAGGGCGGGUGGGGCGGUGCAGCAGUCUCGGACCACCGCGGUGAGCAUUCGGCCGGCGCAGGACGGCACCGGCCCUGCGGCAAAGUUCAUUGAUGGCAACUAUGCCGUCUGCUUCCGCCUCAUACGCUCCAAGGCAGCAGCACAAAAGCCGUCGUCGACGCAGUACGAAGAGGUGAAGGUUCAGCUUUUCGAGGUAGCCUCCACGCGCCACUCCACCUCCACGUACAUCUCGAGGCUUAACGACGCCGCCGCGAACUCGCAGAAUGGCAAUGGGGCAGCAGGGGGCACCAUGGCAGAGGUGAACCGUGAAUAUGCAAAGAUGAUUCGGUCCCUCUUCCGCUCGAGCAGCUCCGCCGAUCUGCGCAAGCUUCUUGACGAGGAAGAGCCAGUGUCAUCAGAGGAAGUGAAGAGUCGGCUUGAGGAAAUCAGGGCCCUGCAGAAACAACUUUUCGGACUCUAUAACAACUUCGAGUACCUGGAGAGUCGCUUCCGGCGCAUGCGUGCCACCGCCGAGACAACCUUCAGCCGCAUUUGGCUUUGCACGCUCUUCACCUUGGCGGUCAUGGGCGGCACGGUGUGGUUCACCUUUCACUACACGAAGAGCAUCAUCAU
This 1062-nucleotide unclassified non-coding RNA is filed under the name Leishmania donovani. Its description in RNAcentral is "gene:LdHU3.34.0370(CDS-product:emp24/gp25L/p24_fa mily/GOLD_putative)". Lineage: Eukaryota; Euglenozoa; Kinetoplastea; Trypanosomatida; Trypanosomatidae. The record is from RNAcentral.